RNAcentral lists this ribosomal RNA (253 nucleotides) under uncultured bacterium. RNAcentral's name for it is "partial 16S ribosomal RNA". It matches the Rfam family "Bacterial small subunit ribosomal RNA", at positions 524 to 776 of the family's 1533-position model. The record is from RNAcentral.
UACGUAGGGGGCGAGCGUUAUCCGGAAUUACUGGGUGUAAAGGGAGCGUAGACGGCGAGGUAAGCCUGAAGUGGAAGCCCGCGGCCCAACCGCGGAACUGCUUUGGGAACUGUUUUGCUGGGGUAUGGGAGGGGUAAGCGGAAUUCCUGGUGUAGCGGUGAAAUGCGUAGAUAUCAGGAGGAACACCGGUGGCGAAGGCGGCUUACUGGACCAUAACUGACGUUGAGGCUCGAAAGCGUGGGGAGCGAACAGG